RNAcentral lists this ribosomal RNA (231 nucleotides) under uncultured bacterium. Its description in RNAcentral is "partial 16S ribosomal RNA". It matches the Rfam family "Bacterial small subunit ribosomal RNA", at positions 99 to 334 of the family's 1533-position model. The record is from RNAcentral.
CGGACGGGUGAGUAAUGUCUGGGAAACUGCCCGAUGGAGGGGGAUAACUACUGGAAACGGUAGCUAAUACCGCAUAACGUCGCAAGACCAAAGAGGGGACCUUCGGGCCUCUUGCCAUCGGAUGUGCCCAGAUGGGAUUAGCUAGUAGGUGGGGUAACGGCUCACCUAGGCGACGAUCCCUAGCUGGUCUGAGAGGAUGACCAGCCACACUGGAACUGAGACACGGUCCAG